CAGCCGCCGCGGGAAAACGAAGGGGGCUAGCGUUGCUCGGAAUGACUGGGCGUAAAGGGCGCGUAGGCGGCGGCCAAAGUCAGGCGUGAAAUUCCCGGGCUCAACCUGGGGGCUGCGUUUGAUACUUGGUUGCUUGAGUGGGGAAGAGGGUCGUGGAAUUCCCAGUGUAGAGGUGAAAUUCGUAGAUAUUGGGAAGAACACCGGUGGCGAAGGCGGCGACCUGGUCCUUGACUGACGCUGAGGCGCGAAAGCGUGGGGAGCAAACAGGAUUAGAUACCCCUGUAGUCCCUGUCUCUUAUAC
RNAcentral lists this ribosomal RNA (301 nucleotides) under uncultured bacterium. RNAcentral describes it as "partial 16S ribosomal RNA". It matches the Rfam family "Bacterial small subunit ribosomal RNA", at positions 509 to 807 of the family's 1533-position model. The record is from RNAcentral.